UGGUUGAUGCAAUGGCUGCUC
RNAcentral lists this non-coding RNA (21 nucleotides) under Rattus norvegicus (Norway rat). The record is from RNAcentral. Lineage: Eukaryota; Metazoa; Chordata; Mammalia; Rodentia; Muridae.